AUUUGACUUGUCCGUCAGGCUAGAAGGAAGCUGCCAUUGGUGGGAGUGAAAGCUCAAAGAACGUUCAGUCCUUCCGCGUUCUAAGCCAAUCUUCACGAAGUGGGGGGCGUGGCCGAGGGAGCCCAGCUGGGGUGGUAAAUACUGUACGGUUGCCACUGCGCUCUGGAAAAGGAGGAAGAGUGUAGGGAAGACUAGGCAUAGACGGAUUUAGAAAUUUUAAAAUAUGCUUUCUCGAAUUUAAAUUCCAAUGAUUAAGAAGUUAGAGCACACAAGUCCUGGUGAAUUUAGGAAUACGGGCCAGGAAUCUCUGAAAACUAGAGUUCUUCUCUAGACAUUUUGUUUUCCCUUUGGUGAGUGGAUCUGGACAUUUUUAAAUGAUCAUGUUAAAUCGGAAAUCAUUAAGCAAAUUUGCAUACUGAAACUACAUUUACAUACGUUGCCCUUGAAAGCCCGCUGGUCUGCUCCCUCCCGGGUUACAAUAAAAAUCCAUCCAUUUAGGCAUAUGUGUUUGCAUUUGAAGACUCCAAAGUUCAAAUGAUCCCAGCUGGAAGAGAGGGUCUUGGAAUGACUAAAUUUGUAUGUGGCAAAAAGGUGUGAAGGGUUUCCUGUCGGGUGGUAGGUGUUUUUCUCUCCCCUCCCCUCCCCAUUACCAAUAUGCACCCUCAACCCCAUUAGUUCUGGAAGUUCCCUUUAUUUUGUAAGACUUGCUCAUUUGUCCUGUAUCUUUAUUCCAAAUACUCUAGUUGCUCCUAACAUCUGUGUCCAGGCCAUUUCUGCUCUAAUCAGAAGCAGCUCUCUGUUGGAUGCACAGGCAGCCACAGCUCAUGCAUUGCAAGGGGCUGGGGGAAGGAGGCGGCUUUGCAAUUGCUGUGUGAUGCAAUGUGAUUGGGGUUGGGGGUGGGGGGUGAGGGGCAAGGGAGAUGCGGGGAGGAAGAAGGGGGGCUGAAAUUCUCAAGGUCCUUUUUGCACAUCUGGCGCAAUUGGGAUUUCUCUCCUUUCUUCCCCUUGGUUUUGUUCUCACAGCUGUGUCCAUUUCGCCUGUGACCCCCUGAGUGAUCCCUGACAGGUGAUGAAUUGGCAGCAGCAGCAACAGCAGCGAGCAACCCAGGCCGCUGCAGAGCCGGAGCCGCGAGCCCCGGAGCAGACUCUCUGGCGCCAGGCGCGUGACGCCGCCCAUUCACCGCCGCCCUCCAGCCUUGUCCUCGCGGCGCCGCUCAGGCGGCUGCCACGGCAACCGGGGCUGUCAGUCAGCGGGCUCUCCCAGCUGAUCAAUGCCUCUGAGACAGGGGCAGUUUCAUGCCUCACCUCGGCCCUUGGCUGCUCCAGGGCCAGCAAGCACCUGCAGCCAGUUGCAUGUCUUAAGUUACUAGUUAUUUGUGGGAGGGAAGCAAAGGAGCUAGAAGAGAGAAAUCUUCCUUUGCAGAGUUUUGCGAGGGAAAAAAUGGUAAAAAGUAUAAUGUAAUUCAGGUUUUGCCAAAAUAUUUUGAUUUUUUAAAUUCAAACUAGACUCUGCUGGAAUGGAAGGCCAGAAGGUGGAGUUAGGUUACUUUUCUAGCAAAUACUGAUAUUUUUCUCCCUUUCUCUACAUCCACAAUGAUCCACUUUGGUUACAAAGCUCCUAAAGAUAUCCUUAAAGAGAAAACUUCUAGAGUCUUUCCCUUAAGAACCGCAGAUUAUACAAAAUGGCAUUUUAUUUUUCCAUAGAAGCCCCUGAGGGAAGAUGUCCACCGGUUUCCUCCACCCCCCACCCUGCGGCUUUUCCUUUACCCUUCCAGCGACUGUAGGGCUUUACGCCAGGGUGGGAACAAGCCAGUUUACACCCCUCAUUACCACUACAAAGUGAACGUCCAGAUUUAGUUCAGAAUGAAGACUGCAUUUUAAACUAAAAAAGAUAAAGACUACAGAAAUUUAAAGACAGCUUGUUGAGACUUCCUCUGUCUGGUUUAUCUUGAAGGAAAAUUCCCCAUUAAGAACCAGAUGCAAACAUUCCCAUACAGUUUAUGGCAUCCGGAAUCCUCCAUGAUCUGCAACUGCAGUCUGAAAGUGCUAAUAAUUAUUAAUCAUCUUUCCCCAACUGAUUUGAUAUGCGUGUCGUCUGCUGAGCUUAAAAAAAAAAAAAUGAAGAUGGGGAAUGGAAAAUAUUCCUGAUUAUGUUAUCUAGUUAAACGGUUUGUUGUGGUUUUCUAGGAAACAGUAUGUGGAUUACGAGUCCCAUGUUUUCUACUUGUUUAUUUAAUACCUUGGCAAAGGAAGUCUUUAGCCUGAAACAAGAUUCAAUUCAACAGUUAAUAGGGAUUUUCUAAAAUGCAAAGUACUAUGCGAUUCGUUGGGGUUGCAGAGAUUAAAAAAAAAACAGUCCUUACCCUCAAGGAGCUUAAAGUCUACAGAACGUGGUAACCACACAGUUAUGCAGUAGUGCCAAGUAGGAAACAAUGGAAAAAUGAACAAAAUAGGAUUCUAAGAACAUUUAAGGGGGAGGGACACAGGAAUUCUACUUUAAAAUACCUUCAAAUGGAAGAAUACUAAAAAGACGAAUAGAUGCUUAUUGUUUACCUAGUACAUACUUUUGAAAACUUAUUUCAGCAUGUGACCUCUAAUAUAAUUCUUAGCAAAUCAGUCAUAAAUUACAUUAACAAAACGGUUCAGCUUCUAAAAUGGAUUACUUUCCAAACCCACCACAAUUUUGAAUACUUCCUUCUAUAAUUCCAGUGCUGUCUUAUUUGCCCCGAGUUUUUUAAAUGGACCAGGUAAAAUGUCUAGCUAAAUCAAUUGCUUUCAACUGUCUGAUCUCCUUUACAGAUAUCGCCUUUCAGAUCCGUUCAAAGAAAGCAGAGUUUGAGAAGUUUUUUUGGAAAGGUUGAUUUAACUACCAGCAUUGCAAAUAUUUAGUUACAAAUGCUGUGAAGUGCACCGAUCUGUAACAGCGUUUUGCUUUCACAAAGGAUUUUCCUGUUACUUUUGUUCCGGUCACAAAAUUAAAAAGAAAAUUAACUUGAGCUAGAGAUAAGGUCUGGAAAACAAUCUGGAGCUGCCAGCGUGUUGGUGGGAGCUCCGCAGGCUGGCGUCAGGAAGUCUGCGCCUCCUUCUAGGACUGCGGCUCCGCUCUGCGCAGCUGCACUCAGCACAAUUAGCUUGUAGUAACAAUCCGGCUUGUAGGCGGCCUCUUCCCCUCAAAGUGCUUUUCUAUCCUGAUCCCUCACAUCUUGACGCUGGAAAUCAAAUCACAAGCUGACCACUGUUUGGCCAACAUCAUCUGUGGGAAUUCAUUAACAUCCGUCUCAAAGAGCGGUUUUGUCCAGAAUUAAACUACAUCUUAACAUUAUAAUGUAGCGUAGAAAGAAAAA
Long non-coding RNA from Antechinus flavipes (yellow-footed antechinus), 3344 nucleotides. RefSeq lists it as uncharacterized. The transcript has 3 exons. NCBI's taxonomy places the organism in Eukaryota, Metazoa, Chordata, Mammalia, Dasyuromorphia, Dasyuridae. The record is from RefSeq and is a predicted model, not a curated record.